AAUAUCCUGAGAUGUGCGACAACCCUGUAAUUUUGAACCUACAUUUUUUAUCAGGGCUUCUCAUAAUUGCUGUUCUUAUGUCGUGCCGUCCUGAACGGAUGACAGAGGGAUAUGCUGCGGAUUCCCACCUAGCACACGCUAGGACUCAAAAUACAGGGCCGGCAUUUUGGGAGUAUA
RNAcentral lists this non-coding RNA (177 nucleotides) under Clostridium sp. SY8519. Its description in RNAcentral is "6S / SsrS RNA". It matches the Rfam family "6S / SsrS RNA". From Rfam's summary of the family: E. coli 6S RNA was the first non coding RNA to be sequenced, but its function was unknown until recently. It consists of 184 nucleotides that fold into an extended hairpin structure with a large single-stranded internal bulge. Lineage: Bacteria; Bacillati; Bacillota; Clostridia; Eubacteriales; Clostridiaceae. RNAcentral also lists the same sequence under 1 other name. The record is from Rfam by way of RNAcentral.